This 869-nucleotide long non-coding RNA is filed under the name Equus asinus (donkey). RNAcentral describes it as "lncRNA (ENSEASG00005031392.1)". The record is from RNAcentral. Lineage: Eukaryota; Metazoa; Chordata; Mammalia; Perissodactyla; Equidae.
CCGCCUCUCCCCGCGCCCGCCCUCGCCGCGCACUCCUCCUAGUAACUUCUGUUCGGGGAGGCGCUGCCAGGAAUAACCCGGUGCGUCCACAGCCCGGGAGGGGAGGCGGCCGCUGCGGCUCCCGCACGCACACUGCUGCGGCCCGGGCCUCGCGGCUCCCUCGCGAGCCCGGCGGCCCCUGCCCCGGGCCCAUCGCCGUACAGUGUCAGAAAAAUAAAUAGAGGAAAGAGGAGCCUGGGCAGGCGGUCGGGAUCUCUUCCCUCCCUCCGCGCCCGCCCUCCCUCUGUCCUUAAGGAAAUGCUACCAGACACCCCCCACCAGACACGCUCAGCCUUGGCGAGGAGCGGCCGCCGCGGCAGCGAGAACAAGGGCACCAGGGGGGUUUCCUCCCCCUCCUCCUCUCCCCACUCUUCCUCCUCCUCCUCCUCCUCCUUCUCAGCGGUGACUUUCCAGGUAAUGAUGUGAAUGCUGCUUAAAUGAGGAUUGACUCUGAUAUUCCAUGGUUUCCUUCCUGGUGAGCUCGCUGGCUCGCCACCCUCCACACUCAUCAGCAGCUGGUGUUUCACCCAGUGGUACUGUGAUCUUCACCACCCGUUCACUUGCACAGAAAAAGAUGGCAUCGAUUUAUAUUUAAAAUAAAGUGGAGAAGCACAUUGCUCAGGCUUUCACUCAACUUGACACAGAGUGUGACUUUCAAAGUGUGGAUGAAAACAGCUUCCGCCCUUCUUGGACGACCUUCACACAGAUGUUUCUGACUUUUUUCCCCUCCUGUUUCUUCUAUUUGUCCUCUUUUUCCUUUCACCAUAGUGACUAGAAUUCUUCAUGUACCACAUCGGUUUUGUAAAAUAUGAUUCCUUGAGAGUACCUAC